UACGUAGGGUGCAAGCGUUGUCCGGAAUUAUUGGGCGUAAAGAGCUCGUAGGCGGCUUGUUGCGUCGGCUGUGAAAUCCCGGGGCUUAACUCCGGGCGUGCAGCCGAUACGGGCAGGCUAGAGUCCGGUAGGGGAGACUGGAAUUCCUGGUGUAGCGGUGAAAUGCGUAGAUAUCUGGAAGAACACCGGUGGCGAAGGCGGUCAACUGGCCCUCAACUGACGCUGAGGCACGAAAGCGUGGGGAGCGAACAGG
Molecule: ribosomal RNA, 253 nt
Filed under: uncultured bacterium
Lineage: Bacteria
Description: partial 16S ribosomal RNA
Rfam family: Bacterial small subunit ribosomal RNA
Source: RNAcentral